CCAGACUCCUACGGGAGGCAGCAGUGGGGGAUAUUGCACAGUGGGGGAAACCCUGAUGCAGCGACGCCGCGUGUGGGAAGACGGUCCUCUGGAUUGUAAACCACUGUCCCCAGGGACGAAGAUGACGGUACCUGGGGAGGAAGCUCCGGCUAACUACGUGCCAGCAGCCGCGGUAAUACGUAGGGAGCGAGCGUUGUCCGGAAUUACUGGGUGUAAAGGGAGCGUAGACGGCGAAGUAAGCCUGAAGUGGAAGCCCGCGGCCCAACCGCGGAACUGCUUUGGGAACUGUUUAGCUGGAGUAUGGGAGGGGUAAGCGGAAUUCCUGGUGUAGCGGUGAAAUGCGUAGAUAUCAGGAGGAACACCGGUGGCGAAGGCGGCUUACUGGACCAUGACUGACGUUGAGGCUCGGAAGCGUGGGGAGCGAACAGGAUUAGAUACCCGUGUACC
Molecule: ribosomal RNA, 447 nt
Filed under: uncultured bacterium
Lineage: Bacteria
Description: bacterial SSU rRNA
Rfam family: Bacterial small subunit ribosomal RNA
Source: RNAcentral